AUGACAGAACCUGAAAGAAAUCAGUUUGUAUCACUGUGGUACACGUUCGGUGGAGGAACCAGACUGGAUGUUGGCAGUGAUGCCCGUCCCACCCUGAGCGUGCUGCCCCCCUCCAGCGAGGAGCUGCAGCGGGGGAAGGCCACGCUCAUGUGCCUGGCCAACAAGGGCUUCCCCUCAGACUGGAAUCUGGCCUGGAAGGUGGACGGCAGAGGCAGAAGCAGCAGCAGCAGCUGGGAGGAGAGCAGCAGCCCCGGGGUGCUGGACAAGGACGGCCGCUACAGCUGGAGCAGCACCCUGACGCUCACUGCAGACCAGUGGAGCAAGGUGGGCUCUGUGACCUGUGAGGCCACCCAGGGCUCCCAGACUCUGGUCUCAGAGACGCUGAGGAGAGACCAGUGUUCCCAGUCCUGACCCGACUCCCUGGGAACACUGCUACUGGUUUUACUCUGCUACUGCUCCCCCCCUGCUCUCUGUAACACUGUCUCUCUCUCUUUUAUUUGACUUGUUUCAGUAGCAGUAUUUACGAGCUUGUCGAGCGUUUCAAUAAUGUUUCUGUUUUUCUAGAUAA
Xiphias gladius (swordfish) is the source of this 568-nucleotide non-coding RNA. The record is from the annotation of a RefSeq genome assembly. NCBI's taxonomy places the organism in Eukaryota, Metazoa, Chordata, Actinopteri, Istiophoriformes, Xiphiidae.